This 468-nucleotide ribosomal RNA is filed under the name uncultured bacterium. Its description in RNAcentral is "partial 16S ribosomal RNA". It matches the Rfam family "Bacterial small subunit ribosomal RNA", at positions 28 to 507 of the family's 1533-position model. The record is from RNAcentral.
GACGAACGCUGGCGGCGUGCUUAACACAUGCAAGUCGAACGGAAAGGCCCUGCUUUUGUGGGGUGCUCGAGUGGCGAACGGGUGAGUAACACGUGAGUAACCUGCCCUUGACUUUGGGAUAACUUCAGGAAACUGGGGCUAAUACCGGAUAGGAGCUCCUGCUGCAUGGUGGGGGUUGGAAAGUUUCGGCGGUUGGGGAUGGACUCGCGGCUUAUCAGCUUGUUGGUGGGGUAGUGGCUUACCAAGGCUUUGACGGGUAGCCGGCCUGAGAGGGUGACCGGCCACAUUGGGACUGAGAUACGGCCCAGCCUCCUACGGGAGGCAGCAGUGGGGAAUAUUGCACAAUGGUCGGAAGCCUGAUGCAGCAACGCCGCGUGCGGGAUGACGGCCUUCGGGUUGUAAACCGCUUUCGCCUGUGACGAAGCGUGAGUGACGGUAAUGGGUAAAGAAGCACCGGCUAACUACGUG